AGGUCUAAUCUACCAAAAAAAAUUUUAUCCAAUAGGAAAGGAUUUUCAUGUACUGGGAACCAACUAUCAACAAUGCAACAUUCUACAGCAUAGGUUAAUAGUAACAUUGGAUCUGAAAGAUUCUUGGUUGGGGCAAGACACUGAAUAAAUUGUAAUCAUUGGAUGGAUGACAUGACAUUUCUAUACUUCACUCGGAUUCCCGAGACGCCAUCUACCGCUCAGACUCGUUAUUACUGGCGUAGGCAAUUUCAGUCCAUCGGAUGCCAUUCGCAGUUAGUUCAGUAGCGUGGAUGGAGAGAAUAACGCGUGGCUGGAGGAACAAUUGAAAAUUGGAUGAGAUAAUACAACAAA
Molecule: long non-coding RNA, 351 nt
Organism: Daphnia carinata
Lineage: Eukaryota; Metazoa; Arthropoda; Branchiopoda; Diplostraca; Daphniidae
Exons: 3
Source: RefSeq, a predicted model, not a curated record